AUUUGGUUAGGGCACUCCUUAUUCCUGUACUUCUAUUAGUUGCUCAUUUUUCUUACGUCGUCAUUACCACUGGUGAGUCUUGUAUCACUGGAAAUUUCUGUUUCUCACCCAAAAUUUCCAAGUAUCGAGCCUCAGGUUUGCAUCCCAGAGCAUCGGCGAUAAUCGAUGGCGCAGCUCCCACGGCCGAAGAACUGUUGCGUCGUGAUCUUUAUACUAGUAAAGGUUGGAUCAAGG
RNAcentral lists this unclassified non-coding RNA (234 nucleotides) under Hevea brasiliensis (rubber tree). The record is from RNAcentral. Lineage: Eukaryota; Viridiplantae; Streptophyta; Magnoliopsida; Malpighiales; Euphorbiaceae.